UACGAAGGGGGCUAGCGUUACUCGGAUUGACUGGGCGUAAAGGGCGCGUAGGCGGCUUGUACAGUCAGACGUGAAAUUCCUGGGCUCAACCUCGAGACGUCGGCGGAAACCAUCUGGCUAGAGUCCGGAAGAGGAGAGUGGAAUUCCUGGUGUAGCGGUGAAAUGCGCAGAUAUCAGGAAGAACACCCGUGGCGAAGGCGGCUCUCUAGUACGGUACUGACGCUGAGACGCGAAAGCGUGGGGAGCGAACAGG
RNAcentral lists this ribosomal RNA (253 nucleotides) under uncultured bacterium. RNAcentral's name for it is "partial 16S ribosomal RNA". It matches the Rfam family "Bacterial small subunit ribosomal RNA", at positions 524 to 776 of the family's 1533-position model. The record is from RNAcentral.